UAAAAUUUAGUUAAUAAAUAACCUUAGUUUGUCAAACUAAAAUAACUACAAAAGUAAUUUUAU
This 63-nucleotide transfer RNA is filed under the name Staphylinidae sp. 2 EF-2015. RNAcentral describes it as "tRNA-Asp". The record is from RNAcentral. Lineage: Eukaryota; Metazoa; Arthropoda; Insecta; Coleoptera; Staphylinidae.